This is a non-coding RNA of Mus musculus (house mouse), 71 nucleotides long. NCBI's taxonomy places the organism in Eukaryota, Metazoa, Chordata, Mammalia, Rodentia, Muridae. The record is from Rfam.
UGAUCAGUCAGGCUUCUGGCUAUAUUCCAGGACAUACCUGGUCCUGGGUAUAACCAAAGCCCGACUGUAUG